GUGGGGAAUUUUGGACAAUGGGGGCAACCCUGAUCCAGCCAUGCCGCGUGCGGGAAGAAGGCCUUCGGGUUGUAAACCGCUUUUGUCAGGGAAGAAAUCCUUUGGGUUAAUACCUCGGAGGGAUGACGGUACCUGAAGAAUAAGCACCGGCUAACUACGUGCCAGCAGCCGCGGUAAUACGUAGGGUGCGAGCGUUAAUCGGAAUUACUGGGCGUAAAGCGUGCGCAGGCGGUUUUGUAAGAUCGAUGUGAAAUCCCCGGGCUCAACCUGGGAACUGCAUUGGUGACUGCAAGGCUGGAGUGCGGCAGAGGGGGAUGGAAUUCCGCGUGUAGCAGUGAAAUGCGUAGAUAUGCGGAGGAACACCGAUGGCGAAGGCAAUCCCCUGGGCCUGCAAUGACGCUCAUGCACGAAAGCGUGGGGAGCAAACAGGAUUAGAAACCCGUGUAGUCC
Molecule: ribosomal RNA, 450 nt
Filed under: uncultured bacterium
Lineage: Bacteria
Description: partial 16S ribosomal RNA
Rfam family: Bacterial small subunit ribosomal RNA
Source: RNAcentral